GGGGGGGCGGUCAGAGAGGGGAAUAAAAGCAGUCCACCCAAGCCAACUGCCAGGACCGGCUCAGAUGUCUUUACUUGCUAUGUAAGCGUUGUUCUUUGGCUGUUAGCAAUAAAUCUUGUUGCUGCUCACUCUUGGGUCUGCGCAGACUUUGUGAGCUGUAACAUUCACUGCCAAGGUCUGCAGCUUCACUCCUGAAGCCAGCUAGACCACGAGCCCACCAGAAGGAAGAAACUCUGGACACAUCUGAACAUCUGAAGGAACAAACUCCCGACACACCAUGUUUAAGAACUGUAACACUCACGGUGAGGGUCCGCGGCUUCAUUGCUGAAGUCAGCGAGUUGGAGAACCCACCAAUUCCGGACACACUACCAGUGUGGUAGCCUAAGCAGGUUAUUUUGGUUUUCAUAUAUUGUCGCUGGACAGGGUUCCAAAAGAGAAACAGAAACUGCAAGUAUUCAAAGACUUUUGAAGUCUGGGCUUGUAUCUUGCCUCUCCUGACUCCCACUGCAUUUUAUUGGCCAAAGAAAUUCAAAAGAUUAAAGAGAAGAAAUAAGAGACUCUGAAUUUUUAAUGGUAGGACUUGGGAAAUGGAGCAGUUACAGGUAAAAGGGAACGAUUAUGGCCAUCUAUGUAGUCUAUCAUAUAGGUACCAUGCUAAAGUUUGAAUAACAUAUUACUCAUAUCUGCAGAGGUAAAGGUGACUAUCAGAAGAAAUAUUAUAGCACAUACAUGGUCAAUGGAAUAAUUGUUUUAGCUUCACAUUUACUUUUGUUUCUGUAAUCUAUGCAGUUCUACUCAUUGAUCAACAAACAUAACUUGGACUUUCUUGCUUUCAUAUUGUUCUUUGCCUAAUUGUCCUUGUUUCUGAUGUGUCAAGAUCUCUGACACCUUUCAACUUUAAAUCCAGUUUGAUUGGUUGUCAAUGGACAAUCCUCCACCUCUGAGAAGCUUUCUAUGAUUACUUCAGAUGAAGGACUCAGCAAGAACUUGGCACUCUGCAACCCAGAAGAGAGUUCUCGCCAGAAACCAAUCAUGCUGGCACUUGGAUCUAGGACUUCAAGCUUCCAGAAAUUUGUGGAAUAAGUUUCUGCUGUUUAUAAGCCACCAAGUCUAUGAUAAUGUGUCAGAGGACUGAGCUAAGACAUAAAGUGAGUUAGAGUUAAGAUUUAAGAUCUAUUUGUUACAAUAAAAUUCAAAAUAGUCGUAUAAAUGUUUAAAUGCAACAUCUCAAAAAUCGUAACAUGUUCUUACAUUUAGAGAAUUAGUACAGAAAUAUUAAGUCAACAAAAUUUCUAACAUUAAAUUGAUGUCUACUUGUUAUGUUGAUUUGCAAACAUUUUUUUCCACAUGGAUAUAUUUCCUUUUGUCUACCCAACUAAUUGUUAUUGCAUUACAGGAAAUCUUUUAUUUAUUUUGUAUUUCUCUGUAAACACCUCCCUACCUUGUCUAGUAUAGUGUCAAUUAUUUCAUGCUUUUAUUAAUGUAAUGGCAAAGUCAUUUUAAUGGCCAGAAUAUAAAGAAUUAUAAAUAACACCUCCAUAGAAUUAAGAUUUGAUUGUUGCAAUGGCAAUAUGGAUGACUUUUAGAAAAAUGUGUUGUAUAUGCCAUCAGACAUUAAAAAAAUUAGCUAAGCUGCAAAUCAAUUUUUACAUGCAAAUAUAACAUAUUAAUAACAGCAGUAGAUGAAAAAAGGAUUGGCUUGAAUUGCUAAGUCAUUUCACACAUUGAUACCAGAGUAAAAUACUUCAAAAUUGUU
Pan troglodytes (chimpanzee) is the source of this 1756-nucleotide long non-coding RNA. RefSeq lists it as uncharacterized. The record is from RefSeq and is a predicted model, not a curated record. The transcript has 3 exons. NCBI's taxonomy places the organism in Eukaryota, Metazoa, Chordata, Mammalia, Primates, Hominidae.